CCUACGGGAGGCAGCAGUGGGGGAUAUUGCACAAUGGGGGGAACCCUGCUGCAGCGACGCCGCGUGGGUGAAGAAGCGCCUCGGCGCGUAAAGCCCUGUCAGCAGGGAAGAAAAUGACGGUACCUGAAGAAGAAGCCCCGGCUAACUACGUGCCAGCAGCCGCGGCAAUACGUAGGGGGCCAGCGUCAUCCGGAUUUACGGGGUGUAAAGGGGGCGCAGACGGCGAUGCAGGCCAGGAGUGAAAGCACCGGGCCCAACCCCGGGACUGCCCUUGGAACUGCGUGGCGGGAGUGCAGGAGGGGCAGGCGGAAUGCCUGGUGUAGCGGUGAAAUGCGUAGAUAUCAGGAGGAACACCGGUGGCGAAGGCGGCCUGCUGGACUGCAACUGACGUUGAGGCCCGAAAGCGUGGGGAGCAAACAGGAUUAGAUACCCCUGUAGUC
Molecule: ribosomal RNA, 440 nt
Filed under: uncultured bacterium
Lineage: Bacteria
Description: partial 16S ribosomal RNA
Rfam family: Bacterial small subunit ribosomal RNA
Source: RNAcentral